Molecule: ribosomal RNA, 477 nt
Filed under: uncultured bacterium
Lineage: Bacteria
Description: bacterial SSU rRNA
Rfam family: Bacterial small subunit ribosomal RNA
Source: RNAcentral
GAUGAACGCUGGCGGCGUGCCUCAAACAUGCAAGUCGAGCGGGGCUAUGUAAUAUCGCAAGGUAGAACAUAGCCUAGCGGCGAACGGGUGAGUAACACGUGGGUAACCUGCCUGGAAGACAGGGAUAACGAUUCGAAAGGGUCGCUAAUACCUGAUAAUAUCCUUUCAUCGCAUGGUGAUAGGAAGAAAGGGGAAACCCGCUUUCAGAUGGGCCCGCGUCCCAUCAGCUAGUUGGUAAGGUAAAGGCUUACCAAGGCGACGACGGGUAGCCGGUCUGAGAGGAUGUACGGCCACACUGGGACUGAGAUACGGCCCAGACUCCUACGGGAGGCAGCAGGUUGGGAAUCGUUAGGCAAUGGACGAAAGUCUGACCUAGCGACGCCGCGUGAGGGAAGAAGGCCUUCGGGUUGUAAACCUCUGUCAUGGGGGAAGAAGUAAGUGACGGUACCCCAAGAGGAAGCCCCUGCUAACUACGUG